This 894-nucleotide ribosomal RNA is filed under the name Triticum aestivum (bread wheat). Its description in RNAcentral is "partial small subunit ribosomal RNA". The record is from RNAcentral. Lineage: Eukaryota; Viridiplantae; Streptophyta; Magnoliopsida; Poales; Poaceae.
AUGGCCAUGGAGGCGGCUCUUGUCAGCGUGGCGACAGGGGUCGUCAAACCUGUCGUGGAGAAGCUGGCUGUUCUGCUCGGCAACGAGUACAAGAGGUUCAAGGGUGUGCGCAAGGGGAUCAGGUCCCUUACUCAUGAGCUCUGCGCCAUGGAGGCUUUUCUCCUCAACAUGUCUGAGGUGGAGGAUCCUGAUCCGCAGGAUAAGGUGUGGAUGAAUGAGGUGCGGGAGCUGUCCUAUGACCUGGAGGAUGCCAUCGACGACUUCAUGCAGAGCAUCGGUGAUAAAGACGAAAAGCCAGAUGGCUUCAUCGAGAAGAUCAAGAACUCAAUAGGGAAGUUGGGGAAGAUGAAAGCUCGCCGUCGGAUUGGCAAGGAGAUCCAAGAUCUGAAGAAACAAAUCAAAGAGGUGGGUGAGAGGAAUGCAAGGUACAAGAGUCGUGAGACCUUCUCCAAGACCGCUAAUGCGACCGUUGACCCUAGAGCUCUUGCUAUAUUUGAGCAUGCAUCGAAGCUUGUUGGAAUCGAUGAACCCAAGGCUGAGAUAAUCAAGCUGCUAAGAGAAGAGGAUGUUCGUGCUUCAGAGCAACAACAACAACUGAAGAUUGUCUCCAUUGUUGGAUCUGGAGGUAUGGGCAAGACAACUCUUGCAAACCAAGUGUAUCAAGAGCUCAAAGGACAAUACGAGUGUUGGGCUUUCGUCUCAGUUUCACGAAAUCCAGACAUGACCAAUAUCUUGAGAACCAUUCUAAGUGAAGUGGCGAAGAAAGACUAUGCUACCACUGAAGCUGGGAAUAUACAACAACUCGUCAGCAAGAUCGUAGAUUUUCUAGCAGACAAAAGGUACCUUUUGUCUUUCAUAUUUUUUCAUUUCUACUUGUCAUCUUUGAAUGUAUAA